CCCAGAUGGCGUGGUCUACAGCACACCUAGGUUGUAUGGCGUGGACUCUUGCUCCCGGGCUACGAACAGCUCUUCACUGCAGGCAACUGGGCUACCUAAUGAUGACAGAAUCUCAGAGGCAGAGGCCUCUUCUCAGGUAGCUCGGAACCCCUCCAUAAGAGCUGCAAAGUAAAGCACUGUCAGAAGAAUUUAAUGCACACGUGACAUGAAGAAGACUUUGUAGAACAAGAGGGACAGGAAGUUGGGAUAACAAUAUAUCUACAGUCAUCAGGAGGCUUAAAAAUGUAAAGCCACGGUUCCUGCAAAAGGAAUGGGCAGAGUAGAAAACAAAACCCAGAGCAAGAUGCAAAGAAGGACCGGCCAUUCUGAAGAGGUGGGGACAAGUCACGCAGACUCCUGGCUGGGCUGACCCGUCACAGGCACCUGGUAGAACAGGCAGCCAUCUGUCUUUCUUUCCACCCCGUGGAUGGUUUGACGAGCCUGCACAUUUCAUCUUUUCUCCUACUCUCGUGGCCCCUCGGUAGGGGUAUAAUAUGGCAGCAGAGCGGCAGCCUGUCCUUAUCUAAGGACUGGAGCUUGCUCCUGGCUCCCACGCUGUUUCCCUGAGCAGAGCCUCUUCCUGCCCGUCCGUCCGUUCCUUCCCCGGCUGCACAGAGCUGGGGAUGCUCAUCCGGGAGCAGGAAAUGAGGACAUUCUUGUGUUUUUCUGCAAUUAGUCUUCUGAAGGGAAAACACAGCAAAACAAGAAAGCAAGCUGGAUGUUUAGAGAGAGCCUCAAGAGUUUAAAGACGUGCUGUUUAUGGAGGCCAAAGAAGAAAGGUGGAGGCUGGGCUGGUGACGUAGCUUAGCGGGAAAGCCUCGGCCUCCCAUGUGCAAGACCCAGGGUUCCAUCUUCAGGACCAUAAAGAAAAAAAAAAAACAGGGUUUGUGCUGGCAAGCUCGGAUUCUGGAUGGGGGAUGUGUGGGAAUUCAUCGCAGGCUAGCUUACGUGAAUUCUGCACUUCGGAAUGACUUGGAAAGUUUAUUGAAGAUUUCAACCAGAAAAAGCCCCUUGCAAACCGCUGAGUCAACAGCAACCCGUCUUUUGGAGAGAAAACUGUUUUGGGAGAGCCUGGGCCAGCCGGCAGAGGGGACCCAGCCACUCAGGAAUCACCCACCCUGGACAUCACUGGUGUGCCCAGCCGUGACUGGCUCCUGUCUCCCUUCUCUGUUCUGCCCCUGGGGAAGCGGCGGGCUUGAUAAACUUCAAGGUUGUUAAGUUGGAAGGAUGCUGAGCUGGUCUUGGGUGACACCACAGAAAUCUGCAAAUACUACACAUCAGGGCUCUUUCCAACUCCUGGAGAAUCAGCUGUUAAACAUUUACCAGCUGCCACUGUGUGUAAACAAGAUCCGAGAGGAACCAGUUAACCUGCUGACUGAACGCGGAGUUCAGCGUGAAGCUGAGCAGGCACUCAGAUGAGGGGAAUCCUUUUAGGGACCCCUUUGCCAGUGGAAACCGACCAUGACUUAGCAGGUGCCACAAUAGAAGAAGAAUGCUCCCAAUUGCACCAUGAUAUGAUGCUUUUUUAUCAUAACGAUGUCAAGAUGUGUUCUGAUUUUCAAGACCCUACAGUGCGGAAAACAUGGUUUUAAAAAUAUUUAUUAUGAGUCAGGACAUCACAUCUAAGGAAAUCAUUGUGGUGUACCGGUAAACAGUCCACAAAUGACUCUUGGAUAAAGUGAGGUACCUGAUUUGCAGCAGUCUGACUGCCGAGGUAUACGUACUUCUACUGGGACCAAUUUCAAGGCACGGAAAGGACAUCUCUGGAUAUGCAGUUGGAAAGAAAUGCAAAGUAGCACCUCAGUAUGUGAGAUUUCUAUUAACCCGUGAGCAAUGCUGGUUAGUAACCUCUAGAGAAAGCAUAGUUAUAAAAGUAUUAGAAAAUUGUAAGUUUUGAGAAUUUAUUAGCUUUGCUUUUAAUGUAUGUUAAAAAUUGUAAGUAUAUAUCAUUUAGUUUUUUUGUUUUGUUGUAUACUGGGGAUUGAACUCAGGGUCACUCGACCACUGAGCCACAUCCCCAGCCCUAUUUAGAAUUUUAUUUAGAGGGGUCUCACUGAGUUGCUUAGCACCUUGCUUUUGCUGAGGCUGGCUUUGAACUCAAGAUCCUUCUGUCUCAGCCUCCUGAGAGGCUGGGAUUAUAGGUGGGCACCACUGAGCCUGGCCUCUUUUAGUUUUUAAAAUGACUGUUUCACAUCCCGCUAGAAAAAUUCCUAAAUUCAGCUUGCACAAGUCAAUAUCUGCUGGGCCUAACCUACCAUUGGGUUUAUGCCUUUGUAGUGAUUUUAUUGUCUUUUUAGUGUAUUAUUAAUAAACUUUUUUUUUUCAAUCCACUGCUCUA
Molecule: non-coding RNA, 2377 nt
Organism: Ictidomys tridecemlineatus (thirteen-lined ground squirrel)
Lineage: Eukaryota; Metazoa; Chordata; Mammalia; Rodentia; Sciuridae
Source: RefSeq, a predicted model, not a curated record